GACGAACGCUGGCGGCGUGCUUAACACAUGCAAGUCGAACGGAAAGGCCCUGCUUUUGUGGGGUGCUCGAGUGGCGAACGGGUGAGUAACACGUUAGUAACCUGCCCUUGACUUUGGGAUAACUUCAGGAAACUGGGGCUAAUACCGGAUAGGAGCUCCUGCUGCAUGGUGGGGGUUGGAAAGUUUCGGCGGUUGGGGAUGGACUCGCGGCUUAUCAGCUUGUUGGUGGGGUAGUGGCUUACCAAGGCUUUGACGGGUAGCCGGCCUGAGAGGGUGACCGGCCACAUUGGGACUGAGGUACGGCCCAGACUCCUACGGGAGGCAGCAGUGGGGAAUAUUGCACAAUGGGCGGAAGCCUGAUGCAGCAACGCCGCGUGCGGGAUGACGGCCUUCGGGUUGUAAACCGCUUUCGCCUGUGACGAAGCGUGAGUGACGGUAAUGGGUAAAGAAGCACCGGCUAACUACGUG
Molecule: ribosomal RNA, 468 nt
Filed under: uncultured bacterium
Lineage: Bacteria
Description: partial 16S ribosomal RNA
Rfam family: Bacterial small subunit ribosomal RNA
Source: RNAcentral